RNAcentral lists this ribosomal RNA (248 nucleotides) under Sebacinales sp. Its description in RNAcentral is "partial small subunit ribosomal RNA". The record is from RNAcentral. Lineage: Eukaryota; Fungi; Basidiomycota; Agaricomycetes; Sebacinales.
ACGGUAAUAACGUCAAAGAUGUGACAAUGGACAAUCCGCAGCGAAGUCCUCUGGUCUAAUCAACCGUGGAACGCGUUCAGAGACUAGAUGUUUGUGGGCUGCUAACGCGGCUUAAGGUAUAGUCCGUCCUGCUCCGAAAGGGGUUUGGGUUUAUAAACGUAGAUGUUCUGGGCCGCACGCGCGCUACACUGACGGAGCCAGCGAGUUUUUUUUCCUUGGCCGGAAGGUCUGGGUAAUCUUGUGAAACU